This 484-nucleotide ribosomal RNA is filed under the name uncultured bacterium. RNAcentral's name for it is "partial 16S ribosomal RNA". It matches the Rfam family "Bacterial small subunit ribosomal RNA", at positions 28 to 506 of the family's 1533-position model. The record is from RNAcentral.
GAUGAACGCUGGCGGCGUGCUUAACACAUGCAAGUCGAACGGGAUCCAAGGGGUGCUUGCACUUUUUGGUGAGAGUGGCGAACGGGUGAGUAACACGUGAGUAACCUGUCCUUUUCUUUGGGAUAAGCAUUCGAAAGGGUGUUUAAUACCUUAUGUUCUGUCUGCCUCGCAUGGGGUGGGUGGGAAAGGCUUUGGCCGGAUUUGGGUGGGCUCGCGGUCUAUCAGCUUGUUGGUGGGGUGAUGGCUUACCAAGGCUUUGACGGGUAGCCGGCCUGAGAGGGUGGUCGGUCACAUUGGGACUGAGAUACGGCCCAGACUCCUGCGGGAGGCAGCAGUGGGGGAUAUUGCACAAUGGGCGAAAGCCUGAUGCAGCGACGCCGCGUGGGGGAUGAAGGCCGUCGGGUUGUAAACUUCUUUUGCUCUGAACAAGGCAUGCCAGUGGGUGUGUUGAGUGGAGGGGUUGAUUAGCGCCGGCUAACUACGU